Molecule: long non-coding RNA, 470 nt
Filed under: Populus tremula
Lineage: Eukaryota; Viridiplantae; Streptophyta; Magnoliopsida; Malpighiales; Salicaceae
Description: long non-coding RNA (PTRE_LNC002577)
Source: RNAcentral
AUUAUAAAAAUAAUAUUCAUUCCUAGAAAUAUUCUCUGAAGACAGAUGCAUGAAAAAGCAAGCAAGAAAUUUUCAUAAUGUAUUCUGAAACAACCGAGGAAUUAGUAAGCAAAACAGAAAAAGUAGGAUGACAUGAUGACAUGACAUGAUCGACACAAAACAAGGUAAAGUCAUAAAGUCCGAAUCGAAAGUUUUAACAAAACAUUCGCAAAUGAACACAGCAGAGCCAUGUUUUAUUAGAAAAAGCGAAGACAGAGGUGUCAUUGGCGCUGUCCAUACAACAAAUGCAUCUCAUGGUUUGGAGUCAGGCAUCAUGCAACAAAGACAAGAAAUAAGUUUCAUGCGUUAAAGUGAAAAAGGAACUUGAAAGAGGAUGUGAAAAAGGAGCUCGAGUCACUAAUCUGUUCAUGCCAUGUUCAUCAUUCAAUGGGUGGAAAUUAAAAGGUGAUCGCGAUUUGCACAGGGUCUUA